Molecule: ribosomal RNA, 429 nt
Filed under: Bacteroidota bacterium
Lineage: Bacteria; Pseudomonadati; Bacteroidota
Description: Bacteroidetes bacterium partial 16S ribosomal RNA
Rfam family: Bacterial small subunit ribosomal RNA
Source: RNAcentral
UAGGGAAUCUUCGGCAAUGGGGGGAACCCUGACCGAGCAACGCCGCGUGAGUGAAGAAGGUUCUCGGAUCGUAAAGCUCUGUUGUUAAGGAAGAACGAGUGUGAGAAUGGAAAGUUCAUACUGUGACGGUACUUAACCAGAAAGGGACGGCUAACUACGUGCCAGCAGCCGCGGUAAUACGUAGGUCCCGAGCGUUGUCCGGAUUUAUUGGGCGUAAAGCGAGCGCAGGCGGUUAGAUAAGUCUGAAGUUAAAGGCAGUGGCUCAACCAUUGUAGGCUUUGGAAACUGUUUAACUUGAGUGCAGAAGGGGAGAGUGGAAUUCCAUGUGUAGCGGUGAAAUGCGUAGAUAUAUGGAGGAACACCGGUGGCGAGAGCGGCUCUCUGGUCUGUAACUGACGCUGAGGCUCGAAAGCGUGGGGAGCGAACAGG